This 799-nucleotide long non-coding RNA is filed under the name Olea europaea subsp. europaea. The record is from RNAcentral. Lineage: Eukaryota; Viridiplantae; Streptophyta; Magnoliopsida; Lamiales; Oleaceae.
CAACUGUUCCAAUUGUUGCCAUGUUUGAACAGAGUUCGCUGGCAAGUUGAUGAACCAGGAGAAAGCUACUCCUGUUAACGAACUAGGGAAAAGUCUCAUUUUAUGGUAAUCGGUUACAUCACCACUUUGCAACGUGAAUCGCCCUAUGUGUUCUAGAGUAGACACCUCUCCCAGACCAGUAAACAGUGAGAAUUCUGGCACUUUAUAACCUCUAGGCCAUGGAUAUGCUUGGUCUACCCAAUCAGGAUAUGGUUUUGUGUACGUCGGCCUAAUGACAGGACGCACCCCAAAGACCAUCUGAUCCUGCACGAUUUCCAUAAUCUGAUUCCUCAACAUGACAUUGGGAUCAUACGGAAUUCCUACAGGUUGAUUAACCGGUUGAUUUGCAUGAGGCCUGAUGUUUGGUCCUUGAUUGGCAACAAAAUUACCAUAAUUAGGGCCAUUACCGUUAACCUGGACAUCUAUCCCCUCGUUACCACGUGGAAUAUUCUGUCCAUUGUUUAGGACAUUAUCUCUCACGUUUGGAUUACCCCCCAAGUUAGGCAUACCACUACUACUACUUUGAUUUGGUAUUGUAGCACCUCCUUGGUUUGAAGUAGAGGGGCCAGGAAGUGGUUCUACCCCUUGACUUGGACUUGGGACUGAAGGAUUAUGUCCUACGAUCGUCCUAGUUUGAAAGUGACUUGUAAGAGGUAUAGCCGGUUGACAUAUUUGGCCCACUAACUUGUUCAUUGUUUCAUUCAACAUCUUUAGUUGUUUGGCCAUAUUGUCAUAGUGUGCAUUACCACUUUGUGUAAAU